GGGGCUACAGCUCAGUGGUAGAGUGCCUGCUUAGCACACACUAGGUCCUGGGUUCAAUCCCUAGUAUCUCCA
This 72-nucleotide transfer RNA is filed under the name Camelus bactrianus (Bactrian camel). It matches the Rfam family "tRNA". From Rfam's summary of the family: Transfer RNA (tRNA) molecules are approximately 80 nucleotides in length. Their secondary structure includes four short double-helical elements and three loops (D, anti-codon, and T loops). The record is from Rfam by way of RNAcentral. Lineage: Eukaryota; Metazoa; Chordata; Mammalia; Artiodactyla; Camelidae. RNAcentral also lists the same sequence under 3 other names.